UACGAGGGGAGCAAGCGUUAUUCGGAAUUACUGGGCGUAAAGGGCGUGUAGGCGGCUUUUCAAGUCGUGUGUUAAAGACCGGUGCAUACCACCGGGGCGGCAUGCGAAACUGGAUGGCUAGAGGGUAAGAGAGAGGAGUGGAAUUCUUGGAGUAGCGGUAGAAUGCGUAGAUCUCAAGAGGAACACCGAUGGCGAAGGCAGCUCCUUGGCUUACACCUGACGCUGAGACGCGAAAGCGUGGGGAGCAAACAGG
RNAcentral lists this unclassified non-coding RNA (253 nucleotides) under uncultured bacterium. Its description in RNAcentral is "contains 16S-23S intergenic spacer region". It matches the Rfam family "Bacterial small subunit ribosomal RNA", at positions 524 to 776 of the family's 1533-position model. The record is from RNAcentral.